This 73-nucleotide transfer RNA is filed under the name Kitasatospora griseola. It matches the Rfam family "tRNA". From Rfam's summary of the family: Transfer RNA (tRNA) molecules are approximately 80 nucleotides in length. Their secondary structure includes four short double-helical elements and three loops (D, anti-codon, and T loops). Further hydrogen bonds mediate the characteristic L-shaped molecular structure. tRNAs have two regions of fundamental functional importance: the anti-codon, which is responsible for specific mRNA codon recognition, and the 3' end, to which the tRNAs corresponding amino acid is attached (by aminoacyl-tRNA synthetases). tRNAs cope with the degeneracy of the genetic code in two manners: having more than one tRNA (with a specific anti-codon) for a particular amino acid; and 'wobble' base-pairing, i.e. permitting non-standard base-pairing at the 3rd anti-codon position. The record is from Rfam by way of RNAcentral. Lineage: Bacteria; Bacillati; Actinomycetota; Actinomycetes; Kitasatosporales; Streptomycetaceae.
UGGCGCGUAGCUCAAUGGGGAGAGCGGCGGUCUUACAAACCGCAGGUUGUGAGUUCAAGUCUCACCGGGCCAA